Molecule: transfer RNA, 63 nt
Filed under: Lepidothrix coronata (blue-crowned manakin)
Lineage: Eukaryota; Metazoa; Chordata; Aves; Passeriformes; Pipridae
Also listed under: 2 other names
Rfam family: tRNA
About the family: Transfer RNA (tRNA) molecules are approximately 80 nucleotides in length. Their secondary structure includes four short double-helical elements and three loops (D, anti-codon, and T loops).
Source: Rfam by way of RNAcentral
AUUAGCUCAGUUGGUCAGAGCAUGGUGCUAAUAACACCGAGGUUGUGGGUUAGAUUCCUGUAU